GUCCGGAGCUCGUAUUCCCAGACGCUGUGGAAACGGUCUACGAGAGACAUUGGAGUUACUUUGAAUUGACAUUGCUUCAAAACUCACUAGAUCCUAUAUGUUCCAGCAUAGCAUUUAUAUUAUUUAUUUCUGUUUUUGAAUGUUCUCUCCGAAAUAUUGUGAACAUCCUGGACACACAUCUAUGUAUAUUAUUAAGCUUGCCAGCCUGUAUUUCCUAUCCAAAUUCCACGCAAAAUGGGGCAAUCUCAGGAGGAAUAUCGUUCGUAGUGUGCGACACAAUUUGUGGUAAAGCCAAGUCCGACCAACUAGAAAUGCACGGAAAAACAUGUGUAAGCAGCGGAGUAAAUGGCUCCAUCUCCAGAUUCAGCGCUUGUUUGUGUUAUGGAUACUAAAAAGUAAAACAACGGCGACGUUGACGACGAUGGCAAGUACAUGAAAAAGUCAACAACAAAUAGUGAGACCAAGCAGCAUCAGCAUCAGCACCAGCAAGAACAACAGCAACAACAACAACUGUUUUGGGGGCAACAAGAACAACUAACGCAUUUUGUUUGCACGACGAACUCAUGACUCAUUUUUGUACAUUUGUCAAAAUUUUUGCCAUACAUCAUUUUAAACAGUGCGCGACAUCGGCGAGGCCAAGGGGCAGGACCAGAGUCGUUGUGGGUACCAGUUGGAAAAUUAUGCACUGCCACCAGCAAUGCCAACCGAGCCACAGUGGUCAGAAAGUGGCGAAAUAACGCAAGGAGCAGAAAAUUAAACAGUAUUAUAGUAGUACAAAAUAUAAUAGCAUGAAAUCAAUAGCACGUUAAAUAGUAAGUCAGAAAAGAAAAUAAAUUAUUAUUAUAAAAUAUAACUAAA
Long non-coding RNA from Drosophila montana, 858 nucleotides. RefSeq lists it as uncharacterized. The record is from RefSeq and is a predicted model, not a curated record. The transcript is spliced from 2 exons. Lineage: Eukaryota; Metazoa; Arthropoda; Insecta; Diptera; Drosophilidae.